AGAGAGAGACAUGCGCGCAUAUCAAUAAGCGGAGGAAAAGAAACUAACAAGGAUUCCCCUAGUAACGGCGAGUGAAGCGGGAAGAGCUCAAAUUUGAAAUCUUAAAGGGUUUCCCUUUACGAAUUGUAGUUUAAAGAAGUGUUUUCUGUUGAGGUUUUGGUAAAAGUUCUUUGGAAUAGGACAUCAUAGAGGGUGAGAAUCCCGUAUUUGACCUUUACUUUCAACUUUGUGAUACACUUUCAAAGAGUCGGAUUGUUUGGGAAUGCAGUCCAAAAUGGGUGGUAAAUUUCAUCUAAAGCUAAAUAUUGGCGAGAGACCGAUAGCGAACAAGUACCGUGAGGGAAAGAUGAAAAGAACUUUGAAAAGAGAGUUAAACAGUACGUGAAAUUGUCAAAAGGGAAGCGUUUGACACCAGUGUUGUUUUUCUGAAAAUCAAUUAAAGAACUGUUUAUGCUAAGUUGUUUAGACUUUAUCAGCUAACUGUUUAGUUUUGAGCUUUUCUUUAAUGCACUUUUCAGUUAACAAGUCAACAUCAAUUUCUUUUGCUGUAAAAAGCUUGAGGAAGGUGGCUUGAGAUUCGUCUUAAGUGUUUAUAGCCUCUUGCCUAUGCAGUCGGAGAGAUUGAGGUCUGCAGCGUAGAUCCUUCGGGGCUAAAUGCAUUUGUGCUAAGUUAUAACAUUUUAUAGACAACUUGUUGACUAUGAUUUGUCUUGUAGCUUACUCGCUUAUGUUAUUUUACCUACGCUUAGGAUGUUGACGCAUGAGAUAUACGC
This 773-nucleotide ribosomal RNA is filed under the name uncultured Neocallimastigales. RNAcentral describes it as "partial large subunit ribosomal RNA". It matches the Rfam family "Eukaryotic large subunit ribosomal RNA", at positions 23 to 646 of the family's 3401-position model. The record is from RNAcentral. Lineage: Eukaryota; Fungi; Neocallimastigomycota; Neocallimastigomycetes; Neocallimastigales.